UGGGGAAUAUUGGCCAAUGGGCGAAAGCCUGAUCCAGCCAUGCCGCGUGUGUGAAGAAGGUCUUCGGAUUGUAAAGCACUUUCAGUUGGGAGGAAGGGCAUUAACCUAAUACGUUAGUGCUUUGACGUUACCGACAGACUAAGCACCGGCUAACUCUGUGCCAGCAGCCGCGGUAAUACAGAGGGUGCAAGCGUUAAUCGGAAUUACUGGGCGUAAAGCGCGCGUAGGUGGUUUGUUAAGUUGGAUGUGAAAGCCCCGGGCUCAACCUGGGAACUGCAUCCAAAACUGGCAAGCUAGAGUACGGUAGAGGGUGGUGGAAUUUCCUGUGUAGCGGUGAAAUGCGUAGAUAUAGGAAGGAACACCAGUGGCGAAGGCGACCACCUGGACUGAUACUGACACUGAGGUGCGAAAGCGUGGGGAGCAAACA
This 427-nucleotide ribosomal RNA is filed under the name uncultured bacterium. RNAcentral's name for it is "partial 16S ribosomal RNA". It matches the Rfam family "Bacterial small subunit ribosomal RNA", at positions 355 to 774 of the family's 1533-position model. The record is from RNAcentral.